RNAcentral lists this ribosomal RNA (587 nucleotides) under uncultured bacterium. RNAcentral describes it as "partial 16S ribosomal RNA". It matches the Rfam family "Bacterial small subunit ribosomal RNA", at positions 355 to 1375 of the family's 1533-position model. The record is from RNAcentral.
UGGGGAAUUUUGGACAAUGGGCGAAAGCCUGAUCCAGCAAUGCCGCGUGUGUGAAGAAGGCCUUCGGGUUGUAAAGCACUUUUGUCCGGAAAGAAAUCCUUGGCUCUAAUACAGUCGGGGGAUGACGGUACCGGAAGAAUAAGCACCGGCUAACUACGUGCCAGCAGCCGCGGUAAUACGUAGGGUGCAAGCGUUAAUCGGAAUUACUGGGCGUAAAGCGUGCGCAGGCGGUUUGCUAAGACCGAUGUGAAAUCCCCGGGCUCAACCUGGGAACUGCAUUGGUGACUGGCAGGCUAGAGUAUGGCAGAGGGGGGUAGAAUUCCACGUGUAGCAGUGAAAUGCGUAGAGAUGUGGAGGAAUACCGAUGGCGAAGGCAGCCCCCUGGGCCAAUACUGACGCUCAUGCACGAAAGCGUGGGGAGCAAACAGGAUUAGAUACCCUGGGUAGUCCACGCCCUAAAACGAUGUCAACUAGUUGUUGGGGAUUCAUUUCCUUAGUAACGUAGCUAACGCGUGAAGUUGACCGCCUGGGGAGUACGGUCGCAAGAUUAAAACUCAAAUGAAUUGACGGGGUCAUAGCUGUUUCCU